AGCCUUAUAUUCAAAUAUGAAUUUAAGCUGCAAACUUAAAAGUGGGGAAAUCCUAAGGCUU
RNAcentral lists this transfer RNA (61 nucleotides) under Ptiliidae sp. BMNH 1274726. RNAcentral describes it as "tRNA-Cys". The record is from RNAcentral. Lineage: Eukaryota; Metazoa; Arthropoda; Insecta; Coleoptera; Ptiliidae.